GCAGGCGCGGUGGCACACGCAUAGUCCCAGCUAUUCGGAGGCUGAGGCUGGAGGGUCGCGUGAGCCCAGGAGAUCUGGGCUGUCGUGCGCUGUGCCGAUCGGGUGUCCGCACUAUGUUCGGCAUCAAUAUGGUGACCUCCCGGGAGCGGGGGACCACCAGGUUGCCUAAGGAGGGGUGAACCGGCCCAGGUUGGAAAUGGAGCAGGUCAAAACUCCUAUCCUGGUCAGUAGCGGGAUUGCGCCUGUGAAUAGCCACUGCACUCCAGCCUGGGCAACAUAGUGAGACCCUCGCUCUA
Unclassified non-coding RNA from Callithrix jacchus (white-tufted-ear marmoset), 296 nucleotides. It matches the Rfam family "Metazoan signal recognition particle RNA". From Rfam's summary of the family: The signal recognition particle (SRP) is a universally conserved ribonucleoprotein. The record is from Ensembl. NCBI's taxonomy places the organism in Eukaryota, Metazoa, Chordata, Mammalia, Primates, Cebidae.